GAUGAACGCUGGCGGCGUGCCUAAUACAUGCAAGUAGAACGCUGAAGGAAGGAGCUUGCUCUUUCCGGAUGAGUUGCGAACGGGUGAGUAAUGCGUAGGUAACCUGCCUGGUAGCGGGGGAUAACUAUUGGAAACGAUAGCUAAUACCGCAUAACAGUAGAUGUUGCAUGAUACCUACUUAAAAGGUGCAUUUGCACCACUACCAGCUGGACCUGCGUUGGAUUAGCUAGUUGGUGAGGUAACGGCUCACCAAGGCGAAGAUACAUAGCCGACUUGGAAGGGUGAUCGGCCAACCUUGGACUGAGACACGGCCCAGACUCCUACGGGAGGGAGCAGGAGGGGAUCUUCGGCAAUGGACGGAAGGCUGACCGAACAACGCCGCGGGGGGGAAGAAGGUUUUCGGAUCGUAAAGCUCUGUUGUAAGGGAAGAACGGGUGUUAGAGUAGAAAGUUCACACUGUGACGUUAUCUAAAGAGAAAGGGACGGCUAACUACGUG
RNAcentral lists this ribosomal RNA (497 nucleotides) under uncultured bacterium. RNAcentral describes it as "partial 16S ribosomal RNA". It matches the Rfam family "Bacterial small subunit ribosomal RNA", at positions 28 to 507 of the family's 1533-position model. The record is from RNAcentral.